UACAGAGGGGGCAAGCGUUGUUCGGAAUUACUGGGCGUAAAGGGCGCGUAGGCGGCCCGCUAAGUCGAACGUGAAAUCCCCGGGCUCAACCCGGGAACUGCGUCCGAUACUGGUGGGCUCGAAUCCGGGAGAGGGAUGCGGAAUUCCAGGUGUAGCGGUGAAAUGCGUAGAUAUCUGGAGGAACACCGGUGGCGAAGGCAGCCCCCUGGGUCAAAACUGACGCUCAUGCACGAAAGCGUGGGGAGCAAACAGG
RNAcentral lists this ribosomal RNA (253 nucleotides) under uncultured bacterium. Its description in RNAcentral is "partial 16S ribosomal RNA". It matches the Rfam family "Bacterial small subunit ribosomal RNA", at positions 524 to 776 of the family's 1533-position model. The record is from RNAcentral.